RNAcentral lists this ribosomal RNA (301 nucleotides) under uncultured bacterium. Its description in RNAcentral is "partial 16S ribosomal RNA". It matches the Rfam family "Bacterial small subunit ribosomal RNA", at positions 509 to 809 of the family's 1533-position model. The record is from RNAcentral.
CAGUAGCCGCGGUAAUACGUAGGGUGCGAGCGUUAAUCGGAAUUACUGGGCGUAAAGCGUGCGCAGGCGGUUGUGUAAGACAGGUGUGAAAUCCCCGGGCUUAACCUGGGAACUGCGCUUGUGACUGCACAGCUAGAGUAUGGCAGAGGGGGGUGGAAUUCCACGUGUAGCAGUGAAAUGCGUAGAGAUGUGGAGGAACACCGAUGGCGAAGGCAGCCCCCUGGGCCAAUACUGACGCUCAUGCACGAAAGCGUGGGGAGCAAACAGGAUUAGAUACCCGUGUAGUCCCUGUCUCUUAUCU